AUACUUAAAGGAAUUGACGGGGACCCGCACAAGCGGCGGAGCAUGCGGAUUAAUUCGAUGCAACGCGAAGAACCUUACCAAGGCUUGACAUACACGAGAACGCCCUAGAAAUAGGGAACUCUUUGGACACUCGUGAACAGGUGGUGCAUGGUUGUCGUCAGCUCGUGUCGUGAGAUGUUGGGUUAAGUCCCGCAACGAGCGCAACCCUCGUUCUAUGUUGCCAGCACGUCAUGGUGGGAACUCAUGGGAUACUGCCGGGGUCAACUCGGAGGAAGGUGGGGAUGACGUCAAAUCAUCAUGCCCCUCAUGUCUUGGGCUUCACGCAUGCUACAAUGGCCGGUAACAAAGGGCUGCAAUACCGUAAGGUGGAGCGAAUCCCAAAAAGCCGGUCCCAGUUCGGAUUGAGGUCUGCAACUCGACCUCAUGAAGUCGGAGUCGCUAGUAAUCGCAGAUCAGCAACGCUGCGGUGAAUACGUUCCCGGGUCUUGUACACACCGCCCGUCAAGUCAUGAAAGUCGGUAACACCUGAAGCCGGUGGCCCAACCCUUGUGGAGGGAGCCGUCGAAGGUGGGAUCGGUAAUUAGGACUAAGUCGUAACAAGGUAGCCGUACCGGAAGGUGCGGCUGGAUCACCUCCUUUCUG
RNAcentral lists this ribosomal RNA (642 nucleotides) under uncultured Microbacterium sp. RNAcentral describes it as "bacterial SSU rRNA". It matches the Rfam family "Bacterial small subunit ribosomal RNA", at positions 897 to 1533 of the family's 1533-position model. The record is from RNAcentral. Lineage: Bacteria; Bacillati; Actinomycetota; Actinomycetes; Micrococcales; Microbacteriaceae.